Molecule: long non-coding RNA, 600 nt
Organism: Monopterus albus (swamp eel)
Lineage: Eukaryota; Metazoa; Chordata; Actinopteri; Synbranchiformes; Synbranchidae
Exons: 3
Source: RefSeq, a predicted model, not a curated record
CGCUUGGAGCUACAAUAAAUAAGAAAACGAAAGAAAAUGUGAGGUUGCAAACGGCGUACCAUGCACCAUGAAGGACUGAGAAUUUGUCCUGGCCAUGUUCCCGGUCACGGUGUGUGUCCCCUGGACAGUGGGCUCAGCGCACUCCCAGGAUCUUAGUUGUCAGCCUGACAGAACACUCAGCAACACAAUAAGGACCAUUGAGUGAUUCUGCAGCUCUGGGUUUGAUUGUGAGCUGGACUCGCCAAACUGUAUUCUCUCACCUAGAGGAGGUCAGUGGUAAUCAACCAAAACACCGCCCAACCACUUUGUGUCUGGAAACACUACAGCAUUCAAUGGACACCACUUAUGCUUCUGUACUACUUGGUUUUGUUGCUGUUGGAUGGCACAUGUGAACCAGUAAACAAAAUCUUAAAGAGAUAAAACAGAUGAGCAUGUUGUCCCUUCAGUGAGCUAGGAAGAGGGGCCCUUGGGCUUCUUUAAUUGGCUCCCAGAGGAGGCUGUUAUUUAUGUAUUCAGUGGUGCUUGGCUUUGGCCCUUCCUGCUCAAUUCCACUUUUUUUGAGCAGGACACUUGGUUUCCCAGGCAACUAAAACUCCAAUC